This 412-nucleotide unclassified non-coding RNA is filed under the name soil metagenome. Its description in RNAcentral is "partial contains 5.8S ribosomal RNA, internal transcribed spacer 2, and large subunit ribosomal RNA". The stretch from base 1 to 121 matches the Rfam family "5.8S ribosomal RNA", at positions 35 to 154 of the family's 154-position model. The record is from RNAcentral.
GAUGAAGAACGUAGCGAAAUGCGAUAAGUAGUGUGAAUUGCAGAAGUACCGUGAAUCAUCGAAUCUUUGAACGCAAAUUGCACUCUCUGGUAUUCCGGGGAGUAUGCCUGUUUGAGGGUCGCUUAACAAACCAUCGAUUUCGUUGCUUUUUUUUUUUAAAAAAGUGAUGUUUAUCGGAUUUGAGCCGUCUUUUUUUUUAUAUUUAAUUGGCUUAAAAUUGAUUUUUUUGGUACGAUCGAAGCGUAUUUUUAUGAUCGAUUUUUGGUUAAAGAAACGCACACGUACCGUUAUUUAUAUGAUGUAAUACGUUUGACUAUUGGAUUUAGUUCAUUCGUAUACGAUAUUUUUCAAUAUUUGACCUCAAAUCAGGUAAGAACACCCGCUGAACUUAAGCAUAUCAAUAAGCGGAGGA